Long non-coding RNA from Lates calcarifer (barramundi perch), 932 nucleotides. RefSeq lists it as uncharacterized. NCBI's taxonomy places the organism in Eukaryota, Metazoa, Chordata, Actinopteri, Centropomidae. The record is from RefSeq and is a predicted model, not a curated record. The transcript is spliced from 4 exons.
AUAAUGCUUCCGGGUACGAUUCGGGCACUGAGAGGCGGAGAAGCCGGAAAACAGAUUUAAACCACUGUUUGAACGGUCACCUCGGUUUGUCAGCACUGUGAGAAACGUGAUUACCGAAGAGGCCUGGAUGUUAAAACAAGCUUUGGAGCUGCUUUUCUGUCGAACACGAGUGAGGCUGGACGCUGAACACACCUGCGGCACGAAGGUCUGCUUGUUCAGCUGCUGCAGCUUGGACUGAAACACGAUCAUCACCUUACAGACCAACAGGUGUCACCACUUGGUCCACGACAUCGUCCACGAUCGCUGAGACGUCGUCCAUGAUCGGAGAGACAUUGUUGAGGAUGAGGGAGACAUCGUCCACGAUCAGAGACAUUGUCCACGAUCGCAGAGACCUUGCCAAAGAUGAGAGAGACGUUGUCCGUGAUCAGAGACAUUGUCCCAUGCUUCGUAGAGACCUUGCGAUAGAAUCGGCGGAGACGGGGGUCACCGAUUUGACGGCACUGCCCGCGAUCAUGGAGACAUUUGUCGAUGGUCAGAGAGACAGCGUCUAUGAUCUCAGAGACAUCGUCCACGAUCACAAAGACUUUGUCCAUGAUUACAGAGACUUUGUCCAUAAUCUCAGAGACACUGUCCGCGAUCACAGAGACGUAGUCCACGAUCACAGAGAGUCUUGGUACAAUGAAGAAGUUGUUUGAGACCAGGACAGAGGCCUCCAGGAGGAGGAAAAGACCGCAUCACCUGAAGAGGACAACAUAAUGUUCUUAAGGAUGUUUAGAGAUGUAUACGGUUUUAAUAGAUAUGUCCCCAUAUGUGCUCACGAUUAUAUUCAGUGUGAGAGAACAAAAUGUGUGUCCUCGACUGGUCAAACAUCUGUCAUUGUCUUUGCUGUGGCUUGUUAAAUGUUGUCCAUAACAGAAUCAAUAAAGUUUUGU